RNAcentral lists this ribosomal RNA (371 nucleotides) under uncultured bacterium. RNAcentral describes it as "bacterial SSU rRNA". It matches the Rfam family "Bacterial small subunit ribosomal RNA", at positions 28 to 401 of the family's 1533-position model. The record is from RNAcentral.
GACGAACGCUGGCGGCGUGCUUAACACAUGCAAGUCGAGCGGUAAGGCCCUUUCGGGGGUACACGAGCGGCGAACGGGUGAGUAACACGUGGGUGACCUGCCCUCAGCUCUGGGAUAAGCCCGGGAAACUGGGUCUAAUACCGGAUAUGACUUCAUGACGCAUGUUGUGGAGUGGAAAGCCUUGUGCGGCUGAGGAUGGGCCCGCGGCCUAUCAGCUUGUUGGUGGGGGAUGGCCUACCAAGGCGACGACGGGUAGCCGGCCUGAGAGGGCGACCGGCCACACUGGGACUGAGAUACGGCCCAGACUCCUACGGGAGGCAGCAGUGGGGAAUCUUGCGCAAUGGGCGAAAGCCUGACGCAGCGACGCCGCG